Cyprinus carpio (common carp) is the source of this 705-nucleotide non-coding RNA. The record is from the annotation of a RefSeq genome assembly. Lineage: Eukaryota; Metazoa; Chordata; Actinopteri; Cypriniformes; Cyprinidae.
AUGACCUGUUGGUCUGCCAGUGCUGUUUUUUUUGCCCGUUAUGGCGGCACAAAUAGAGGACAGAUCACUGUAACUCAGAGUCCAUCAAUAACAGCAGCUCAAGCAGGACAAGAAGUCAGAAUAAACUGUAAAACCAGCAGUAAUGUGUAUAAUGGUAAUUAUUUAGCCUGGUAUUUACAGAAACCUGGAGAAGCUCCUAAACUCCUCAUAUAUUAUGUAUCUAUUAGUUACACUGGAACUCCAUCUAGAUUCAGUGGCAGUGGAUCUAACAGUGAUUUCACUCUGACCAUCAGUGGAGUCCAGACUGAAGAUAUAGGAGAUUAUUACUGUCAGAGUGAACACUGGCCAGGUAGCUACACAUUCGGUGGAGGAACUAAACUGGUGCUCGCUGGUCCCACAGUGAAGCCCUCAGUGUCUCUGCUGCCGCCCUCUUCUCUGCAGAUCUCUGGAGACUCAGCCGCACUGCUCUGCCUGCUCAGCUCUUACUCUCCACAGGGGGCGCUGGUGAGCUGGACACUGGACGGCUCAGAGGUCACCGAGGGGGUUGUGACCAGCGCAGAGAGCGAGCAGGACGGCCGCUACAGCCGCAGUAGUGUCCUGACCCUCAGCAAAGCACGCUGGGAAGAGGGAGAGCUGUACGUCUGCAGAGUAACACAUGAUGGAGCUCCUCAUGAGGCCUCGUUCCACAAGAGUCGCUGUUAGUCG